GCCCUCAUAGUUAAAUGGAUAUAACAAAUCCCUCCUAAGGAUUAGUUAUGGGUUCGAUUCCCGUUGGGGGUG
Molecule: transfer RNA, 72 nt
Filed under: Clostridia bacterium
Lineage: Bacteria; Bacillati; Bacillota; Clostridia
Description: tRNA-Arg
Rfam family: tRNA
About the family: Transfer RNA (tRNA) molecules are approximately 80 nucleotides in length. Their secondary structure includes four short double-helical elements and three loops (D, anti-codon, and T loops). Further hydrogen bonds mediate the characteristic L-shaped molecular structure. tRNAs have two regions of fundamental functional importance: the anti-codon, which is responsible for specific mRNA codon recognition, and the 3' end, to which the tRNAs corresponding amino acid is attached (by aminoacyl-tRNA synthetases). tRNAs cope with the degeneracy of the genetic code in two manners: having more than one tRNA (with a specific anti-codon) for a particular amino acid; and 'wobble' base-pairing, i.e. permitting non-standard base-pairing at the 3rd anti-codon position.
Source: RNAcentral